Molecule: ribosomal RNA, 399 nt
Filed under: uncultured bacterium
Lineage: Bacteria
Description: bacterial SSU rRNA
Rfam family: Bacterial small subunit ribosomal RNA
Source: RNAcentral
GGGGAAUAUUGCACAAUGGGCGAAAGCCUGAUGCAGCAACGCCGCGUGAGCGAUGAAGGCUUUCGGGUCGUAAAGCUCUGUCCUAAGGGAAGAUAAUGACGGUACCUUAGGAGGAAGCCCCGGCUAACUACGUGCCAGCAGCCGCGGUAAUACGUAGGGGGCAAGCGUUAUCCGGAAUCAUUGGGCGUAAAGGGUGCGUAGGCGGCCCUAUGGGUCAGAGGUUAAAGGCUACGGCUCAACCGUAGUAAGCCUUUGAAACUGUAGGGCUUGAGUGCAGGAGAGGAGAGUGGAAUUCCUAGUGUAGCGGUGAAAUGCGUAGAUAUUAGGAGGAACACCAGUGGCGAAGGCGACUCUCUGGACUGCAACUGACGCUGAGGCACGAAAGCGUGGGUAGCGAAC